This 961-nucleotide ribosomal RNA is filed under the name Enterococcus faecium. Its description in RNAcentral is "partial 23S ribosomal RNA". It matches the Rfam family "Bacterial large subunit ribosomal RNA", at positions 154 to 1116 of the family's 2925-position model. Lineage: Bacteria; Bacillati; Bacillota; Bacilli; Lactobacillales; Enterococcaceae. The record is from RNAcentral.
UUGUGUGAAUACAUAGCACAUUCGAGGUAGACGCAGAGAACUGAAACAUCUAAGUACCUGCAGGAAGAGAAAGAAAAUUCGAUUCCCUGAGUAGCGGCGAGCGAAACGGGAAAAGCCCAAACCAGCAAGCUUGCUUGUUGGGGUUGUAGGACUCCAAUAUGGUAGUUCUUUCAGAUAGUCGAAUGACUUGGAAAAGUCAGUCAAAGAGGGUAAAAACCCCGUAGACGAAAUGUGGAAGACACCUAGGAGGAUCCUGAGUACGGCGGAACACGAGAAAUUCCGUCGGAAUCCGGGAGGACCAUCUCCCAAGGCUAAAUACUCCCUAGUGACCGAUAGUGAACCAGUACCGUGAGGGAAAGGUGAAAAGCACCCCGGAAGGGGAGUGAAAUAGAACCUGAAACCGUGUGCCUACAACAAGUCAAAGCCCGUUAAUGGGUGAUGGCGUGCCUUUUGUAGAAUGAACCGGCGAGUUACGAUUGCAUGCGAGGUUAAGUUGAAGAGACGGAGCCGCAGCGAAAGCGAGUCUGAAUAGGGCGUUUGAGUAUGUAGUCGUAGACCCGAAACCAUGUGAUCUACCCAUGUCCAGGUUGAAGGUGCGGUAAAACGCACUGGAGGACCGAACCCACGUACGUUGAAAAGUGCGGGGAUGAGGUGUGGGUAGCGGAGAAAUUCCAAACGAACUUGGAGAUAGCUGGUUCUCUCCGAAAUAGCUUUAGGGCUAGCCUCGGAAUUGAGAAUGAUGGAGGUAGAGCACUGUUUGGACUAGGGGCCCAUCUCGGGUUACCGAAUUCAGAUAAACUCCGAAUGCCAUUCAUUCAUAUCCGGGAGUCAGACUGUGAGUGAUAAGAUCCAUAGUCGAAAGGGAAACAGCCCAGACCACCAGCUAAGGUCCCAAAAUAUAUGUUAAGUGGAAAAGGAUGUGGGGUUGCACAGACAACUAGGAUGUUGGCUUAGAAGCAGC